CUACGGGUGGCUGCAGUGGGGAAUCUUAGACAAUGGGGGCAACCCUGAUCUAGCCAUGCCGCGUGAGUGAUGAAGGCCUUAGGGUUGUAAAGCUCUUUCAGCUGGGAAGAUAAUGACGGUACCAGCAGAAGAAGCCCCGGCUAACUCCGUGCCAGCAGCCGCGGUAAUACGGAGGGGGCUAGCGUUGUUCGGAAUUACUGGGCGUAAAGCGCACGUAGGCGGACUGGAAAGUCAGAGGUGAAAUCCCAGGGCUCAAUCUUGGAACUGCCUCUGAAACUAUCAGUCUGGAGUUCGAGAGAGGUGAGUGGAAUUCCGAGUGUAGAGGUGAAAUUCGUAGAUAUUCGGAGGAACACCAGUGGCGAAGGCGGCUCACUGGCUCGAUACUGACGCUGAGGUGCGAAAGCGUGGGGAGCAAACAGGAUUAGAUACCCCAGUAGUC
This 439-nucleotide ribosomal RNA is filed under the name uncultured bacterium. RNAcentral's name for it is "partial 16S ribosomal RNA". It matches the Rfam family "Bacterial small subunit ribosomal RNA", at positions 339 to 795 of the family's 1533-position model. The record is from RNAcentral.